AGCCCGAGAAGCCUUCAAAACGUAUAAAUCUUUCGCUUUUUACUAAAGAUUUCCGUGGAAGAGAACACUUAAAUGAGUCUAAAUAUAUUUUUGAAGGCUGAAGCCUCACUUUCGGGUGAGGU
Small nuclear RNA from Nymphalis io (European peacock), 122 nucleotides. RefSeq annotates it as U5 spliceosomal RNA. The transcript has a single exon. NCBI's taxonomy places the organism in Eukaryota, Metazoa, Arthropoda, Insecta, Lepidoptera, Nymphalidae. The record is from RefSeq and is a predicted model, not a curated record.